This is a non-coding RNA of Mycena epipterygia, 92 nucleotides long. NCBI's taxonomy places the organism in Eukaryota, Fungi, Basidiomycota, Agaricomycetes, Agaricales, Mycenaceae. The record is from the annotation of a GenBank genome assembly.
GCCUUCGUGGAUCAUGGUGGUCGCCUCGAUUCGUUACCUGCGGAUAGUGUCAAUAUAACGAGGAAGCGGAGGUUCGAAUCCUUCCGGAGGCA